This 216-nucleotide ribosomal RNA is filed under the name uncultured bacterium. RNAcentral describes it as "partial 16S ribosomal RNA". It matches the Rfam family "Bacterial small subunit ribosomal RNA", at positions 29 to 240 of the family's 1533-position model. The record is from RNAcentral.
AGUGAACGCUGGCGGUAGGCCUAACACAUGCAAGUCGAACGGCAGCACAGCAGUAGCAAUACUGUGGGUGGCGAGUGGCGGACGGGUGAGGAAUACAUCGGAAUCUACCUUUUCGUGGGGGAUAACGUAGGGAAACUUACGCUAAUACCGCAUACGACCUUAGGGUGAAAGUAGGGAGUCGCAAGACCUUACGCGGAUAGAUGAGCCGAUGUCGGA